This 81-nucleotide transfer RNA is filed under the name Amanita muscaria Koide BX008. It matches the Rfam family "tRNA". From Rfam's summary of the family: Transfer RNA (tRNA) molecules are approximately 80 nucleotides in length. Their secondary structure includes four short double-helical elements and three loops (D, anti-codon, and T loops). Lineage: Eukaryota; Fungi; Basidiomycota; Agaricomycetes; Agaricales; Amanitaceae. The record is from Rfam by way of RNAcentral.
GGCGCUAUAGUGUAGUGGUUAUCACUCAGGAUUCUGACUCCGUGCUUUCCUGAAACCCAGGUUCGAGCCCUGGUAGCGCCU